RNAcentral lists this ribosomal RNA (600 nucleotides) under Rossellomorea marisflavi. RNAcentral describes it as "bacterial SSU rRNA". It matches the Rfam family "Bacterial small subunit ribosomal RNA", at positions 85 to 670 of the family's 1533-position model. The record is from RNAcentral. Lineage: Bacteria; Bacillati; Bacillota; Bacilli; Caryophanales; Bacillaceae.
CCUGAGAUCAGCGGCGGACGGGUGAGUAACACGUGGGUAACCUGCCUGUAAGACUGGGAUAACUCCGGGAAACCGGGGCUAAUACCGGAUAACACCUACCCCCGCAUGGGGGAAGGUUGAAAGGUGGCUUCGGCUAUCACUUACAGAUGGACCCGCGGCGCAUUAGCUAGUUGGUGAGGUAAUGGCUCACCAAGGCGACGAUGCGUAGCCGACCUGAGAGGGUGAUCGGCCACACUGGGACUGAGACACGGCCCAGACUCCUACGGGAGGCAGCAGUAGGGAAUCUUCCGCAAUGGACGAAAGUCUGACGGAGCAACGCCGCGUGAGUGAAGAAGGUUUUCGGAUCGUAAAACUCUGUUGUUAGGGAAGAACAAGUGCCGUUCGAAUAGGGCGGCGCCUUGACGGUACCUAACCAGAAAGCCACGGCUAACUACGUGCCAGCAGCCGCGGUAAUACGUAGGUGGCAAGCGUUGUCCGGAAUUAUUGGGCGUAAAGCGCGCGCAGGUGGUUUCUUAAGUCUGAUGUGAAAGCCCACGGCUCAACCGUGGAGGGUCAUUGGAAACUGGGGAACUUGAGUGCAGAAGAGGAAAGUGGAAUUCC